Molecule: ribosomal RNA, 468 nt
Filed under: uncultured bacterium
Lineage: Bacteria
Description: partial 16S ribosomal RNA
Rfam family: Bacterial small subunit ribosomal RNA
Source: RNAcentral
GACGAACGCUGGCGGCGUGCUUAACACAUGCAAGUCGAACGGAAAGGCCCUGCUUUUGUGGGGUGCUCGAGUGGCGAACGGGUGAGUAACACGUGAGUAACCUGCCCUUGACUUUGGGAUAACUUCAGGAAACUGGGGCUAAUACCGGAUAGGAGCUCCUGCUGCAUGGUGGGGGUUGGAAAGUCUCGGCGGUUGGGGAUGGACUCGCGGCUUAUCAGCUUGUUGGUGGGGUAGUGGCUUACCAAGGCUUUGACGGGUAGCCGGCCUGAGAGGGUGACCGGCCACAUUGGGACUGAGAUACGGCCCAGACGCCUACGGGAGGCAGCAGUGGGGAAUAUUGCACAAUGGGAGGAAGCCUGAUGCAGCGACGCCGCGUGCGGGAUGACGGCCUUCGGGUUGUAAACCGCUUUCGCCUGUGACGAAGCGUGAGUGACGGUAAUGGGUAAAGAAGCACCGGCUAACUACGUG